AUUGAACGCUGGCGGCAGGCCUAACACAUGCAAGUCGAGCGGAUGAAGGGAGCUUGCUCCUGGAUUCAGCGGCGGACGGGUGAGUAAUGCCUAGGAAUCUGCCUGGUAGUGGGGGAUAACGUCCGGAAACGGGCGCUAAUACCGCAUACGUCCUGAGGGAGAAAGUGGGGGAUCUUCGGACCUCACGCUAUCAGAUGAGCCUAGGUCGGAUUAGCUAGUUGGUGGGGUAAAGGCCUACCAAGGCGACGAUCCGUAACUGGUCUGAGAGGAUGAUCAGUCACACUGGAACUGAGACACGGUCCAGACUCCUACGGGAGGCAGCAGUGGGGAAUAUUGGACAAUGGGCGAAAGCCUGAUCCAGCCAUGCCGCGUGUGUGAAGAAGGUCUUCGGAUUGUAAAGCACUUUUAGUUGGGAGGAAGGGCAGUAAGUUAAUCCCUUGCUGUUUUGACGUUACCAACAGAAUAAGCACCGGCUAACUUCGUG
RNAcentral lists this ribosomal RNA (484 nucleotides) under uncultured bacterium. RNAcentral's name for it is "partial 16S ribosomal RNA". It matches the Rfam family "Bacterial small subunit ribosomal RNA", at positions 30 to 507 of the family's 1533-position model. The record is from RNAcentral.